Long non-coding RNA from Siniperca chuatsi (mandarin fish), 3571 nucleotides. RefSeq lists it as uncharacterized. Lineage: Eukaryota; Metazoa; Chordata; Actinopteri; Centrarchiformes; Sinipercidae. The record is from RefSeq and is a predicted model, not a curated record. The transcript has 3 exons.
UAGAGAGCAGGCUGCCACGUCCUGCCAUUAUCCAGUGUCCUCUCUAUAACAAAGACACUUGGACGAGGACCCUGCAAAGCAGAAAAGAUGAAUAAAGAAAACAUUUCAGGUUUAAAAUGAAUAAACGAUUGCAGACUGUGUCAUACCUUGAAGCUGAGCACCAGGUUGUCAAGCUGGAACAAAUUGUUGAGGUCCAGUUGGAGAGUGACUGGACUCAACUCUACAGGACAAACCAGCAGAAGAGCAUUUCCAUCAGAAGUGGACAAGACCUCCUGGACAGUGUGGGCCAGCUGACCAUUUGGGUUCCUGGAGUCACAUGGACAACACUUCAUCCUCCUCUAAGGAACAAAAAAAAACCCCCACAAACAAAUCAGUAACAAUGGACUUUUCUGCAGAGUUACAUUGUAAUAUUUGAUGUAUGUAUGUAUGGAAGUAUUUGUCUUGAAACUGACCCAUGGACCUAAAAACAACUUCCAAAUUUGUCUCUUUGCCUCCCUGCCAUGCCAGGUAGAUAAGAUGUGUUACUGAGCAGGUCACACAUUUGCCAGAGGGACAGAAAAUCAAUAUGCCUCAGAUGGGAAGCCGAAUCACUAACAGUCCAAGCUUUAUAUUGCGUUUUGAUUGAGCUGGUCAACAACUUGGAGGGAAACUUUACCCCAGUAACAGAUGAGGAAGGAAAAAUGUGCUGCCCUUGUUUAAAUCUGACUAUGUUUUGUAUACAUUUUUUUUUUGACACCAGUGGAACUUGACUUGGGACCACAGGGAAACCAAAUGAAAUUUGCGAAACACAAACAGAGUUUGUCCACCUGACAGAAUUUGAAGUUGGUAAAAUUCAGACUUUUUCCACCAACACAAUUCAAUUUAACAACUGUACUACAAUGACAAAAAGCAGUAACUUCAGUUACUAUAGUUUGCCUUUGUAGGGCAGUAUUGAUAUAGUGGUAUAAUAUUUAUACACAUUUAGAGAGAUACAGAUGUAGUGGUAUUCAUACACAUGUAGAGGGCUGCAGAUACAGUGGUGUAAAUACACAUGUAGUGAGGUAUUCUGUACAAAGGCAAAAGGCAGUAAUGGAAGUUACUGUUUUUUGCCUUUGCAGGGCAGUGUAGAUGUUUAAUAUAGCUUUAAAGAAAUAAUUCAUACAAAGAAUGACAUUUUAGGUUAUUGUCUACUGACCACUGAGUCAGUCAAAGCACGUGUGAAGUCUGUAUGUACAUUUGCAAACAAACACACACAUUUUUAUUAAUGUACUGAAUUAAAUAAAAGUGAGCAGAUAAUGCCCACAUUUCCAUUUUUGGGUGAAAUUUUUCUUUUAACAUUUACAGUAAUGGAUCUGUUUUUCCACCUCUGAUGAGCUGUGUGCUGUUUAUGAAGACACCCAGUAUGUUUGUGAAUGUAUGUACUUGGGUAAUUCCCCACACAAGUGCUCAGAUCACUGACAGCUGGGCAGCUGCUUUCACCAGUCAAUGUUUAUUAGCUCCCCCUUUAUACGGGGGCAUGGCUGCCAGUCUGGCACACUGACCAUGGCUGCUUUCCCUGUAGGGUAAAGUUCCCUCUGGACUGCUGAUUGUUAAACAUAAAGGCCUCAAUAAUGUUUCCCCUCCAGCUGUGUGUCUCAACGCACUCACCCACAUUAGGAUGCAAAUUUACAAUCAAAAUUGCUUAGAUUUGUUCUCCACCGGUCAGGUCCUGGCUAAAAGGGUAUAUUACUCUGAAAGUGAAGCCCAUCUUUAAACAUGAAAUUGUUUUCCAGCUUCCUUUCAAACAUUUAUAGAAUUGUUCUGUGCAUGUUUCCUCAUUCCCAAAACACAGUGACAUUAAAGGGGUACUCCAAUGAUUUAGUAUUGCACUUCUAUAAAGUUGGGGGACUUCACAGAGACAGUCCUAGUAAUGGUGAGGCCAACAAUUUCAAUAUAAUAUCUAUAAUUCAACUCCAUUGUGUCUUUCAUUAGACCCCCUUGGUCUAGUAAACGCCCACCUCUUUUUAAACACCACGCUUCCAGUUUGUAAUCCAGGUUUUCUGUUUCUGUUCUUGUAGUCUCUAAACCAGCCUAAACUGAGAUAACCCAUCAUCAGGGAUAUUUUCUCAGACUUGACAAAACUCUUCCAAAGGCAAGAGAGAAAAAAAUGAAUCUGAAAAUACUACAUGAUAUAUGCCUAACUAAUAUUCUACUUUUCUUCUACUUUCUACAAUAAACACUAUAAUUCUGGACAUUUAAAAAAAAACUUUUUAAUCACCUAUGUGCAAUUUUGACACAUAUGUCAGAGUUUUUUCUUUGUCUUUAUUCUUUUUCUUAUUAUUGUUUAUAUCUUUUUUUAAGUUACCUUACAUACUCAAUAUGUGAAAUUUCUAUUUCAUUUUGUUAGUGUGUUGACGUUAAUACAGUUUAUAGAAAAAAGAAAAGAAGAAAAAAAAAGACAAAGUGCCUCCAGAAGCCCUUAUACAACUGUUUCAACAGGCUGAGAGUAAACUGGUCUUCAUGUGUAAAAUUGGUGGUGCCCCCUUAACUACCAUGACGGACACAUCUUUAGCACAUCAAGUGCAUGGUCAAGUGAAGAAAAUUCAGCAAGGAUCACAGCAUCACAUGGAAAAAUUUCUGUCUAGGUGAAUCAAUCAUGAAAAAACAUCAAUAUCUUCAGGCAACUUGCAUUCCCCUAUGCAUAAAUAUAGUGUACAUAAAUCUGAAAUUAAAGGUGCCUAAAAAGACUGUGAUAUCAACAACAAUAUUUAAAGGUCCAGUGUGUAACAUUUAGGAGGAGGUAUUGGCAGAAAUGGAAUGUAAUAUUUAUUAGUAUGUUUUCAUUAGUGUAUAAUCGCCUGAAAAUAAGAAUCGUUGUGUUUUCGUUACUUUAGAAUGAGCCGUUUUUAUCUACAUAGAGAGUGGGUCCAUGAGGCCGCCAUGUUGCACAGCCGUGUUUCUACAGUAGCCCAGAUUGGAUAAACCAAUCACUAGCUUUAGAUAGGACCUUUUGUGUUUUUCGCGGGUUUCGCGGCCACCAAAGUUUCUCCUACACACUUGGAUUGGGAGGGUGAGGCGAGCGGUAUUCAAAUGGUUGCAAAGUGCAAUUUCACUGCUAGUUGCCACUAAAUACUACACACUGGACCUUUAACAUCUCCAACAAUAUUAUCACAAAUAUAUGGAAACAUUUAUUAUAUGGCCCUGUCCUAGAUGGUAUAACAUAGACUGAUUUUGUGAAUGAAAGCUGGACAAAGUGAUGUUCACCAUCUGUGUAUAGGGAACAAAUUUUGGUCAUACUUAGUUAUUUAAAAUGAAAACAUCACCAACAGAGUGAAAAGCUGCAUUGACAGAGAAAAGUCUCCUUUCUGUCUAGACAUUUAUGACAUGCUCUGUGAUGCUUUGGUUGACAUUCCUGAUCCUGGACGUCUGGCCCUUCCUGAACAAUCACCAUUUCUCGCCAUGCAGGUUGUAAAACACCAAAAGCUAUUAUUGGUCGGAGUUCAACAUGUAAUCUGAUAUGUCUUGUUGACAAGUAACGGCAGGAAUUUAAAGGACAACAAUCACCUAAUCUGACACAGUAAUCACCUCGAAAAGCAUAAAUGUCAUGUAGCCU